GACGAACCGUGCAAACGUUAUUCGGAAUCACUGGGCAUAAAGGGCGCGUAGGCGGCUUUCUAAGUCAGGGGUGAAAUCCGGCAGCUCAACUGUCGCAGUGCCUUUGAUACUGGAGAGCUCGAGGGAGGUAGGGGUCUGUGGAACUUCCGGUGGAGCGGUGAAAUGCGUUGAUAUCGGAAGGAACGCCGGUGGCGAAAGCGACGGACUGGAUCUCUUCUGACGCUGAGGCGCGAAAGCCAGGGGAGCAAACAGG
This 253-nucleotide ribosomal RNA is filed under the name uncultured bacterium. RNAcentral describes it as "partial 16S ribosomal RNA". It matches the Rfam family "Bacterial small subunit ribosomal RNA", at positions 524 to 776 of the family's 1533-position model. The record is from RNAcentral.